RNAcentral lists this ribosomal RNA (5798 nucleotides) under uncultured archaeon. RNAcentral describes it as "partial 16S ribosomal RNA". The stretch from base 4931 to 5798 matches the Rfam family "Archaeal small subunit ribosomal RNA", at positions 1 to 873 of the family's 1478-position model. The record is from RNAcentral.
UGCACUAGUUAAAAAUGAACCUAAAGUUUUGAGUUUGAAACAAAUAUUAUUAGAAUUUAUUAAGCAUAGAAAAGAAGUUGUUAUUAGAAGAACUAACUAUGAACUAAAAAAAGCAGAGGAAAGAGACCAUGUACUACAAGGAUUAUUAAUUGCAUUAAAAGAUAUAGAUGAAAUAAUUAAAUUAAUAAAAAGAAGUAAAGAAGUGAAAGAUGCAAGAGAAGGAUUAAUUGUAAAUUAUAUUUUAACUGAAGUACAAGCAAAUGCAAUUCUUGAUAUGAAACUAAGUAGAUUAGCUGCAUUGGAACAGCAAAAAAUCUUAGAUGAACAUAAUGAAUUAUUGAAAUUUAUAGAAGAAUGCAAGAGUAUAUUAAAUUCUGAUGAAAGAGUCAAAGCAAUAAUUAAAGAUGAAUUAAUAGGAAUAAAAAAUAAAUAUGGUGAUGAAAGAAAAACAGAAAUAAUAGAAUCUGAAGAAGAGCAAAUAGAAACUGAAGACCUAAUAGAAAAUGAAAAGGCAGUAAUAACAAUUACACAUUCAGGCUAUGCAAAGCGUGUGUCUCUAGAUGAAUAUAGGGCACAAAAAAGAGGCGGAAAGGGGGUAAUAGGAACAGAAACAAAAGAUGAUACAGACUUCGUAGAACAUUUAUUUGUCACGGAAACAAAAGAUUAUUUAUUAUUAUUCACAGAUAAAGGAAAUAUACAAUGGUUAAAAGCAUAUCAAAUACCUGAAGCUGGAAGAUAUGCAAAAGGAACAGCAAUAGUUAAUUUAAUCAAAUUAGAAAAAGAUGAAAAAUUAGCAUCAAUAGUUUCAGUUAAAGAAUUUACAAAAGAUAAAUAUUUAUUAAUGGCAACAAAAAAUGGAAUAAUAAAAAAGACAUCAUUAGAAGAAUAUUCAAGACCAAGACAAGGAGGAAUAAUUGCUAUAAACUUAAGAGAUAAUGAUAAAUUAAUUGGAGUAAAAAUAACAGAUGGAACAAAACAAUUAAUAUUAGCGACAAAAGAGGGUCGUGCUUCUAGAUUUAGAGAAUCUGAUGUAAAUGUUGUUGGGCGUAAUAGCAUAGGUGUUAAAGGUAUUAAUGUAAGAAAUUCUGAAGUAAUAGGAUUUGAAGUUAUUGAUUGUCCAUACUUAUUAACUAUCACAGAAAAAGGAUACGGAAAAAGAACAAAUGUAGAAGAGUAUAGAUUAAUUAACCGUGGCGGAAGUGGUGUUACUAAUAUAAAAAUUACAGAAAAAAAUGGAAUUGUAGCUGGAAUAAAAAUAAUAAAUGAACAAGAUGAGUUAAUGAUAAUAACUAAAAGUGGAAUAAUAAUAAGGACACCAGUAAAAGGGAUAUCUGUAAUUGGGCGUAACACUCAAGGUGUACGAAUGAUGAAUAUAGAAAAUGGCGAUUCUGUUGGAACAAUAACAAGAAUUAUUGGAGAAAAUGGAGAUAUAGAAAAAGUUAAAGAAGACUACAAACCUAGUGAAAAAGUGAUAGAUGAAACAGAAGAAUUAAUUAAGAAUACAGUAACAAAUGAUAUAACAACGGAGGAAGAAAAUGACAGCGAAAACAGGAGAGUUUAAAGGACAUAAAACAUUAAUAUUAAGUGAUGAUGGAGAUACUUCAGAAAAAUAUCCAUUUUCAUUCGGAUUAAAGAAAGCAAAAUUAAUAUUAGAACAUAUUGAAGAUAUUAAAAAGUUUGUUGAAGAAAACGGAAAAGAAUAAAAUUAGAAAAUAAUACAGAAUAAGUUUAGGCAAGAGGAAGGAUGAAGAAUAGAUGGAUUCAAGAAUGAAUAAAGUAGAAAGAAUUGGUUUCGGAAUCAAAAGAAUGAAAGAAGCAAUGCAAAAAGAAAAUUUACGAACACCAGAAAUACAAGUUAGUGAACUUAAUAGUUUUUUUACUAUAAUAUUUAAAAGACCAUUUACCGCCCAGGUUAAUACCGAGAAAACUAUGGAGAAGAUUUUAAUAAUAAUUAAAGAUAAUCUUAAAAUAACUCAAAAUGAAAUUUCUGAAAAAACAGGAUUGACAAGAAAAGGUAUUGAAUGGAAUUUGCAGCAGCUUAAAGAAAAAGGAAUUAUAAAAAGAAUAGUCCCAGAUAAAUGGGGGCAUUGAGAUAUAAUAAAAUGAUAGAAGAAACAGAAGAAUACCAAGAUAAAUUAGCUAAAGAAGCACAAGAAUUAGUUGAUGAAACAUUUCCAAAUCUUUGGAAAGGAGUUAAAGAAGAUAUGAAGGAUCGUUCUAAAAAAGAAUUAGCUGAAAGAAUGUAUUUAUUCGGUAUAAUGACUCAUAUGAGAAUUAUUGAUAUUGCAGAUAAUGAGAUUGUGGAACAAGCAGAGAAAGAUCCUAAACUAAAAAAAAUGUUUGAUAAGAUGAAAGAAGAGAUUGGAAAGGACGAUGAAGAGUAAUAAAAUAUUUACAUACAAACUAUCCCCCUCAUCACUGAAUUUAUUUAAUGAAUGUAAAAGAUGUUUUUGGCUAACACAACAUAAAGUCUGGAAAAGACCAAGCGGGCCGUUCCCACAACUGCCAAACGGAAUGGAUAGAAUACUAAAAGCACAUUUUGAUAAUUUUAUGAAAAAAGGAAAACUACCACCAGAAAUAAGAGAACAUCAUCAUACAACAGGAUUAAAACUAUUUGAUAACGAAGAACUACUAAAAGAAUAAUAAAUUAGAUCAAUGUUAUUUAUAUUCAACAUAUUGGACUUUUAGUCGUUCUAUAACUUCAGAAGAAUGGAAAGUACAUCUUUUAGAAAGUGAUAAAAUAAACCCAAUAGAGUGUAUAGGAUUUGAUGAGUUAAAUAGAAUAAUAAAAAAUAAUUCCCCAAACUGUUAAUAGGGUAAUAUAAGGAUUUUAUAUAAUUAGUUUACGAUAAAAAUAGGGUAUAAAAUCUUUAUUUAUCAAUUCUUUUUUCAUUUAAAUUAACAAAUUAUUUUUAGAAUUAAUAAACUUUACCUAGAAAUUUUGGAAAAACAAUAGUAUUUUAGAAAAUCUUUCAUCAAGGAAAAUGCAAAAUAAUAUUUUUCAGUCAGAAAAAAAUAGUUUUCUUAAAAUUUUAAUUUAUCCAAGAUACUAAAAGUAUCUUUAUUAAAUUUAGAAAAAGCAAACCAUUUUUUACCUAAAUCUUUCAAAGAAGCACCAAUAUGAUAAACUUCUUUAUUAUCAAUUAUAAUAAAUCUAUCGUGACAUUUAUCAAAAUCUCUAAUUUCAAUAUUACCAUACUGUAAAUUAUACUUAUUAACAUCGAGCAAUAAUUGUUUAGAAAUUUUAUUAGUAAAAAUAACAACUUUAACAGUCUUAUUUCUUUUAUUAAAUAGUGUUAAUAUUGAAUCAUCCACAUAAUUAUCAAUAAGAAUUAUAGAAUGAGCAGCACUUCUAAUAAUAUCACAAACAAACUUAUAAGCAUCAAAAAUUUGACCAUCAAAAAAUAUACCCUUAUCAGGAAUAAUAUCCUUACUUUGUAUAGCAUCAAAAACCUCUUCAAAUUUUUUAUCAUACUCAAUAUAUUUAAAUUCAAUAAAAUCCAAGCGACGAAAAAUAUCCGCAUUAUUAAUGAGAAAUUUACGCAUAGAAACAAAAGCAUUUAUUAUUUGUAUGCUCACACUUAUAGCAGUGUUGCUUCUUAAUACACCAGAUAACAUUGCUACACCUUGUUCUGUAAAAACAUAAGGUAAAUACUUCCUAUGUAAUCCUCUUCCUUUUUCUAAAAUUUUACUGUCUAUGGUCGCAAAUUGCGACCUUAAAUUUAGAUAUUCUUUAUCAUUUAACUGAAACAUAAAACUUUCAGGAAAUCUUUCAAUAUUUCUUUUAACUUGUUCAUUUAAUCUUUUAACACUAACUCCAUAAAAACGAGCUAUGUCAUCAUCAAUCAUUACUUGCAUACUCCUAAUAAGAUAAAUUUUCUCUCUAAUAUUAGUUUCAUUCAAAAUCAAUUUAUCGCCCAUUUAAUAUAUUCUAAUUCCACAAUUUAAAAAUCUUUAUCAACAAUUUCUGAAAAAAACAAUAGUAUUUUAGAAAAUCUUUCAUCAAGGAAAAUGCAAAAUAAUAUUUUCCAGUCAGAAAAAAAUAGUUUUCUAAAACCUAGGUUUGUGCGUGAAAACAAAGUUUUCUUAAAUUCAUCUAAAAUCCACAUUUUUAAAAUACAUUUUUUUGUUUAUAUCUUUUCUUAAUAUAUCCACAAAUUUGAAAAUCAUUCUAGAAAGUUUAUUAAUUCUAUCAUAAAAAAAUAAAUAUUCAUCAUUAGGAAUAUAUUUCAAAUCCUUAGAUAAAGAAAAUAAAACUUCUAAUUCUUUGCAGGAUCCAUAAGCAUAAUUUAAAAAUUGUAAAAAUUCUUUUUUACUUGAUCUCGUUGAACCUUCAGUAAUAUUCAAAGGCAUUGAAACUGAAGCUCUUCUAAUCUGAGAAGUCAAAUUAUUAAUUUCAUGUUCAGGAAAUUUAAAUGUAAUAUUAUAUGCUUCAAGAACAAAUGCAUGCCCUUCUUUAUAGAUAUUUAAAUCUUCAUAUUUUACCAUACAUUAUUUAAGAUUUUAUUUUUAAUAAGUCCUUCUGCUAUUUUUUUGAAAGAAUAAAUUAAAUUUUUGAAAAGUUUUUACAUUUAGAACAAAAAGCUUUUUAAACAACUUCAAAUGCCAAUAUCCUAUGAAAAGAUCUUCAAGGCGAUGGAAGAAGAAAAGACAAAUGCGUUGGAAGUGGCAGCGUAAAAGGAUUAGAAAAGAAAAACGAAGACGUAAAGCAAAUAGAUAAAUUCUGAAUUUUAAAAAAAAACGACGAUACAAUAAAAAGGUUUAAAUAUAACCAAUUGUUGCAAAUAAUACUUUAUAAGUGAUGAAAGUAUUAACUUUCAGAUAUAGUCAGUGAGUACUUGAAUUAAUUUUUAAGUAUGAAGGUAUAAGAAAGAGCAAAAAUCACAAGAAGUAGUGACGUUAAUAAACCAAUUUUCUUGCGACCAUAAUAAUUCCCGUUGAUCCUGCGGGAGAUCGCUGCUAUUGGAAUCCGAAUUAGCCAUGCAAGUUAGGGAGUAGUAAUACUACCGGCAUAAGGCUCAGUAACACGUCGAUAAUUUGCCCUUAGGCCUAGAAUAACCUUGAGAAAUUGAGGCUAAUACUAGAUAAAAGACGGAUACUGGAAUGUUCCAUCUUUGAAAGGUAACACCUAAGGAUAAGUCGGCGGCUGAUUAGGUUGUUGGUGAGGUAAAGGCCCACCAAGCCAUGGAUCAGUAGGGGGGAUGAGAGUCCUAGCCCCGAGAAGGGCACUGAGAUACUGGCCCUAGCCCUAAGGGGUGCAGCAGGCGCGAAAACUCUACAAUGCGCGAAAGCGUGAUAGGGGGAUCCCAAGUGCUUUGCCUUCGGGUAAAGCUUUUGUUGAGUCUAAGAAUCUCAGCGAAUAAGUGGUGGGUAAGACGGGUGCCAGCCGCCGCGGUAACACCUGCGCCACAAGUGGCGAUCGCGUUUAUUGGGUCUAAAGCGUCCGUAGCCGGCUUGUUAAGUCUUUUGUGAAAUUGUUGGGCUUAACCUAACAGAUGGCAAAAGAAACUAUCAAACUAGAGACCGGGAAGAGGUAGGGGUAUUUUGGGGGUAGCGGUAAAAUGUUAUAAUCCUCAAAGGACCACCAGUGGCGAAGGCGCCUGCCUAGAACGGGUCUGACGGUGAGGGACGAAGGCCAGGGGAGCAAAACGGAUUAGAUACCCGAGUAGUCCUGGCAGUAAACUCUGCAAGCUAUGUGUUGCACAUUCUUCGAGAAUGUGCAGUGCCUAAGUGAAGACGUUAAGCUUGCCACCUGGGAAGUACGGUCGCAAGACUGAAACUUAAAGGAAUUGGCGGGG